Long non-coding RNA from Melospiza georgiana, 284 nucleotides. RefSeq lists it as uncharacterized. NCBI's taxonomy places the organism in Eukaryota, Metazoa, Chordata, Aves, Passeriformes, Passerellidae. The transcript has 3 exons. The record is from RefSeq and is a predicted model, not a curated record.
UGUGCUAUCUUGGACUUCAGAAGAGUUACAAGCAAUGGAAUAUUGCCCACUGAGCCUUUGCUGACUGUUCUCACAUUGCCACGAAGGAUAAAGGAUCACAGUUUGUCUUUUGUGUGAGAGGGCCUGAACUCCCAACAUCUCCAAGAGUGCAGGCAACUGGUUUGCUUGAUGUGUCCAGAGAAAGAGAGAGAGAAGAAAAAGUCUCCCUGUCUCAUGCUGUUUGCAGGAGAGCUGAAAAGCUGUUUUCUCCUUUCUUCCUCUCCUCCUAUGUUGUGAUCUGUCAA